GUCGAACGCUGGCGGCGUGCUUAACACAUGCCAGUCGAACGGAAAGGCCCUGCUUUUGUGGGGUGCUCGAGUGGCGAACGGGUGAGUAACACGUGAGUAACCUGCCCUUGACUUUGGGAUAACUUCAGGAAACUGGGGCUAAUACCGGAUAGGAGCUCCUGCUGCAUGGUGGGGGUUGGAAAGUUUCGGCGGUUGGGGAUGGACUCACGGCUUAUCAGCUUGUUGGUGGGGUAGUGGCUUACCAAGGCUUUGACGGGUAGCCGGCCUGAGAGGGUGACCGGCCACAUUGGGACUGAGAUACGGCCCAGACUCCUACGGGAGGCAGCAGUGGGGAAUAUUGCACAAUGGGCGGAAGCCUGAUGCAGCAACGCCGCGUGCGGGAUGACGGCCUUCGGGUUGUAAACCGCUUUCGCCUGUGACGAAGCGUGAGUGACGGUAAUGGGUAAAGAAGCACCGGCUAACUACGU
RNAcentral lists this ribosomal RNA (467 nucleotides) under uncultured bacterium. RNAcentral's name for it is "partial 16S ribosomal RNA". It matches the Rfam family "Bacterial small subunit ribosomal RNA", at positions 28 to 506 of the family's 1533-position model. The record is from RNAcentral.